CUCACAGAGAUCCACCUGCCUCUGCCUCUUGAGUGCUGGGAUUAAAGGCUUGCACCACUACCACCCAGCCUCUUCCUUCCUUUAGAGCUUAGAUUUUUCCUGCUUGUUCUCUCUGUCCACCAGUCCUGGGCAGACUGCCUAACUAUUGGCCGUUCAUCUCUUUAUUAGACCAAUCAGGUGUCUUAGGUAAGCAAGGUGAAACCAAUGCAGCAUGUCUUUACGUCAUUAAACAAAUGCAGCAUAAGCAAAUGUAAAACACCUUUACAUCAUUAAGCACACACCUUAUCUUAUGUCAUUAGAUAAAUGCAGCAUAAUCAAAUGUAACACACGUUUACACAGUUAAAGUAGUAUUCUGCAGUAUAAGCAAAUGUAACACAUCUUUGCUCAGUUAAGAUAAUAUUUCACAACACACUUUCUUGACUUAGAGCACUUUCUCCCCAGCCUUUGCUUUGUUUGUUUGUUUGACACAGGCUCUCAUGCAGCCCCAGACUAGUCUCCAGUUUACUGUGUAACUAAGGAAGACUUUUAACUCCUGAUCUUCCUCUUCCGUCUCCCAAGUUCUAGGAUUACAGGCGUGUGCCACCAUAUCCCGCCUUACUGGACUCUACACCACAUUCUCUACAUACGUGGUGUGCUGCCUGGGUGGAGCUCUUAUGGCAUAAUAGCUUUACGUUGGCAUGGAUACCGUACAGGUUGGUUAUGUUCAAAAAGCAAGCCAGAACAUCCUCACUUGCCACCUGCAAAAUAUCAGUAGCCAUGCUCUGGAAAGUACAGAUCUGGUUUGAAGUCCUGACCAGUUUCCUACAUGAGAUACUGACAGGGAAGUUGGCAGCUCAGAUGUUCAGGGGACUUCUGGCAUGGAGUGUCACAGUACCAGGGUUUCUCUCUGAAGUCCUGGCUGGAACUCACUGUUUACAUCGGGCUGGCCUCAAACUCCCAGAGAUCCCUCUGCCUCUGCCUCCUAAAAGUGGACUCUGACACUGUUCAGCACCAGUGGCUUUGUAACUGGUUGUUUCCUGAGUGCUUUACAACAGGGGAUAUGCUCUGUAUGAGCCGUGUUCCAGAGACACCCUCUUUGGCUGGGGGUUGGCAAGCUAGAGGAGAGACUGGCAUGCAAGAAUGGCAGCAGCUGCUGGGGAGGACCGUGUGUCGACUGGCAGAAUAAACAAAGCUUUAACUAAA
Molecule: long non-coding RNA, 1182 nt
Organism: Myodes glareolus (Bank vole)
Lineage: Eukaryota; Metazoa; Chordata; Mammalia; Rodentia; Cricetidae
Source: RefSeq, a predicted model, not a curated record